RNAcentral lists this unclassified non-coding RNA (144 nucleotides) under uncultured fungus. RNAcentral describes it as "sequence contains ITS1". The record is from RNAcentral. Lineage: Eukaryota; Fungi.
GUGAAGUUAUAAGAGCGCUCGAAAGAGGCUCGACUACACUUUUCUUACACUGUGAACUUGAUUUUUCAACUUGUCCGAAAGGACUUGUUCGAAACCCUAGUCUUAAUAGAAGUCUCGAAUGUAACCUUUGAUAAACGAAAGUAA